ACUCCGGAAGUCGGGGGGCUUUAAGCCCGCGUCCGGAUCGGGGCCGUGUCAUUGUCAGCUACCUGGGGAUGCGCCUCUCGCUCCCUCUCUUGUCUUUGCGUGUGUGUGUGUGUCGGCCUGUCUACGCACUACACGAAGCCUUAGUUGGUCUUCUUUCGUCUAGUGGACGCACCUAGGACUUCUAUUUGGAACUGAGUCCGACAGCUCAGGACUGGCUGCUCAGACUCCACAAUUUAAUGAAAAAUCUGAGAUGAUGACUCAGAAAACCUCUAACGAUCUGAGGAAUAUAUUAAGGGAUUCCAAAGUCAAAGGCUGAUCAUGGAGGGCAUUGAUGAGGGGAGACUUCAGGUGGCCAGAGACUAGAAGAAAGGAACACCGGAAGAAUGAAAACGGUUGUGAUGCACUGCAGUGUG
RNAcentral lists this non-coding RNA (413 nucleotides) under Pongo abelii (Sumatran orangutan). Lineage: Eukaryota; Metazoa; Chordata; Mammalia; Primates; Hominidae. The record is from RNAcentral.